Long non-coding RNA from Musa acuminata AAA Group (dessert banana), 1617 nucleotides. RefSeq lists it as uncharacterized. Lineage: Eukaryota; Viridiplantae; Streptophyta; Magnoliopsida; Zingiberales; Musaceae. The record is from RefSeq and is a predicted model, not a curated record. The transcript has 2 exons.
CGAGCCGUUGGUCUCCUGCCCGCGGUCUCUAUAUAUCCGAACCCCCGCCAGCGGCGUUUUUCCGUCUCAGGGUUUGUGGUUAUUGUCCGCCGGCCCUUCAAUCGGCGGAGCUCUGCCAUGGCGAAACCACGAGGCUCAGGGUUUGAUGUCGUUUUACGCCGUCGCUGCAGUCGGCGCUGUUCUUAUCAUGGUGAAGCUACCUGGCUUAGGGUUUGUUGUCGUUCUCCACCAUCUCUGCAGGCCGCGCUGAUCUCCCAUGGCGAAGCUGCGUUCCGGUGUUACCUGUUUUCUUCUGGCAGAUCUUCGAGUUCGUGGUGUUCCUGAUGGUAUCGAUUAGGUCUUCCCUUGUUCUGUCUUGUAUUUUGGUUCUUUUUAUCAUAUCCCCAUACUAUUUCUCUCAUCCGAUCUGCUUUUCCUUGAGAUUCUCCUGGUUUCUCGUCGAUUCGUUAGUGAAUUUCUUUCCUCCUAUAUUGCUGUCACUUGGAUGGGUAUGCUGCAACAAAAGCAUCGAUUAUCGAUCUGAGGCGCGGAUCCUUUAUGGGAGGCUGCUAUUUCGUGUCAUAACUCUUGUAUGCAGGGCAGGGGAUGAUUUCUUUUCUGCUUGUUAAGCAGUUCCAUGGCUGAAAACAUAAGAUAGAGUUUCAUCCACCACACGAUCGCGUCGCCUAGAUCUACGGAUCCUAGCUAUUUCUCGGUCAACUUUGGUUUGUUUUAUAUAUAUCUAACUUGUGCCUUUUCAUAGUUCAUUCAUCUUUUGGCUUGUUUCGUUAUCAUGAGAUCCAACAUGGUUUCUUUCAGUAUUAUCAGUUUCAUCAGUUUAUUUGCAUCUUCUUGUUUCAUUACAAAUAUUCACUGUCGGAAAUUUUUUUCUUUCAAUUUAAUGAUUGUUCUGAGCCUUCGAACUAUUUAUUAUGAUUGUCUUUUUUUUUUUUUCUAUUUGGGAUCGUAUUGCAGGUUAGCUUAGAUUCUUUCUCAGGCGCCCUAUGAUCAUGUUUCUUGGAUCAGGAGUUCGGUAGAUGACUGUUCGUGUUCCAUGGAUUUUGUUGAUCGUACGUCUCUUUUACAAGUACAUAGGAGCUCGAACCAUGGGGCGGUUUAUGAUUGUCAGACUAUGUUCUCCAAAGUCGUAUUAAAGGUGUAAAAUUAUGAUAUUCCCUGUGGCUGGGAACAAGCGGGUAUUGAUUGAGGGAAGGAGCUGGAGAUUUCUUCCAUUUAGGGAGCAUGUACGAGGAAAAAGAAGCUUAUUUCAGAUCCAUGGAGCUUGACGAAGAAGGCUAUUAGUGUUCCAAGGAAUUUGGUGACCAGCUGUUAUUAAGCAUCGGAGGAACUAGCGGUAUGGAUAAAUUGGGCUAUCAGAGGUUCCCUGUGUGCUUCUGGUGGUGAUCUCAUGGGACGUUUCUUGAUUCCUUGCUCUUACUCUCCAGUUGCUCUUUCUCUUACGAGGUUAUUUGCUUUCUGGUUAAUCUAAAUUUUUUAGGUGUUUUGGAUUUUACUUCCAUGGGAGGUAUAUACCACUCUUUGCACAGACAUAACUCUCAACAUUGACUCAUGUUACAUUGAAUAGGAAUAUGUCAAUGAUCUUGAAUUGUUGCAAACAUGAUCUUCGUUUAUCUUUCA